This 274-nucleotide ribosomal RNA is filed under the name uncultured bacterium. RNAcentral describes it as "partial 16S ribosomal RNA". It matches the Rfam family "Bacterial small subunit ribosomal RNA", at positions 523 to 796 of the family's 1533-position model. The record is from RNAcentral.
AUACGGGGGGUGCAAGCGUUAAUCGGAAUUACUGGGCGUAAAGCGCGCGUAGGCGGUUUGCUCAGUCGGAUGUGAAAGCCCAGGGCUCAACCUUGGAACUGCAUACGAUACUGGCAAACUAGAGUGUGAGAGAGGAUAGUGGAAUUUCCGGUGUAGCGGUGAAAUGCGUAGAUAUCGGAAGGAACAUCAGUGGCGAAGGCGACUGUCUGGCUCAACACUGACGCUGAGGUGCGAAAGCGUGGGGAGCAAACAGGAUUAGAAACCCGAGUAGUCC